Molecule: ribosomal RNA, 207 nt
Filed under: uncultured bacterium
Lineage: Bacteria
Description: partial 16S ribosomal RNA
Rfam family: Bacterial small subunit ribosomal RNA
Source: RNAcentral
UAUGUAGAUGGUUUUUUAACUUAGAAGUCAAAGACAAAAGCAGAAUUUUUGGGAGGCUUUUAAAACUGAAAACUUGAGUUUAGCUGAGGAUAUGCGGUAUUUGUGCUGUAGGGAACGUUACCCAGUGAUAACACAAGGACCAACAAUUGCGGAAGCAGCUAUCUAUAGUAAACUGACAUUGAAAUACGAAAGCAUGGGGAGCAAACG